UACGUAGGGUGCGAGCGUUAAUCGGAAUUACUGGGCGUAAAGCGUGCGCAGGCGGUUUUGUAAGCCAGAUGUGAAAUCCCCGGGCUUAACCUGGGAAUGGCAUUUGGGACUGCAAGGCUGGAGUUUGGCAGAGGAGACUGGAAUUCCCGGUGUAGCAGUGAAAUGCGUAGAUAUCGGGAGGAAUACCGAUGGCGAAGGCAGGUCUCUGGGCUAUAACUGACGCUCAUGCACGAAAGCGUGGGGAGCAAACAGG
This 253-nucleotide ribosomal RNA is filed under the name uncultured bacterium. RNAcentral's name for it is "partial 16S ribosomal RNA". It matches the Rfam family "Bacterial small subunit ribosomal RNA", at positions 524 to 776 of the family's 1533-position model. RNAcentral also lists the same sequence under 2 other names. The record is from RNAcentral.